UACGUAGGCAGCGAGCGUUGUUCGGAGUUACUGGGCGUAAAGGGUGUGUAGGCGGUUUUCUAAGUUUGGUGUUAAAUCUCCCGGGUCAACUGGGAGGGUGCGCCGAAAACUGGAGGGCUAGAGUACGGGAUGGGAGAGUAGAAUUCCUGGUGUAGCGGUGAAAUGCGUAGAUAUCAGGAGGAAUACCGGUGGUGUAGACGGCUCUCUGGACCGUAACUGACGCUGAGACACGAAAGCGUGGGUAGCAAACAGG
Molecule: ribosomal RNA, 253 nt
Filed under: uncultured bacterium
Lineage: Bacteria
Description: partial 16S ribosomal RNA
Rfam family: Bacterial small subunit ribosomal RNA
Source: RNAcentral